AUAUAUUUGUCCAAGCCCACACAUCCCUCACUCUCUUUUGCAAAUUAGGGUUUUUGCUACCUCGCAUCUCUUCUCAUCCAAGUUCAUCUCCCUUCGUAACCCUCAAACUUGGCGGAACAGACAGAGAAGGCUUUUUUGAAGCAACCAGGUGUUUUUCUAAGGUCA
Lycium ferocissimum is the source of this 165-nucleotide long non-coding RNA. RefSeq lists it as uncharacterized. The record is from RefSeq and is a predicted model, not a curated record. The transcript is spliced from 2 exons. NCBI's taxonomy places the organism in Eukaryota, Viridiplantae, Streptophyta, Magnoliopsida, Solanales, Solanaceae.